Long non-coding RNA from Glycine soja, 980 nucleotides. RefSeq lists it as uncharacterized. The record is from RefSeq and is a predicted model, not a curated record. NCBI's taxonomy places the organism in Eukaryota, Viridiplantae, Streptophyta, Magnoliopsida, Fabales, Fabaceae. The transcript is spliced from 3 exons.
CACGUUAAGAUGUAUUAAAAGUCACCCUUUUCACGUAUCUGAUAAUCAAACUUUCUUUGUUUCGUCGGUCCGCAGCACAAAACGAAGAGAAAAUGACGAUUCCUACGUUGGAAUCUGACAUCUAAGGUGGCAUCCUUACUGAAAUAUUAAAAAGCUACAGUACAUGACAACAACUGAGCAAAACAUGGCUCAACAGCUAGGUUGAAGGAUAUGGCCACUGAAUGUGAGGAUUUGAAUCAUGGCCAGAAAAUGCAACAGUUUGGGGUCAACGUCACUCAUCAACCACGUUACUUUCUGGUUCCCGACCAACAUGUUCCAGUGAUUCUUCAUCAAAUUUAGACACACAGUCCAUAGGUUCUUAAUUCUUUUUACCAAGACAAUAAUAGUACCACGUUUGGGAGCCUUAUAGGUGUUUCCAACAUUUUAGAGCUAUCUAGAAGAUCGCUAAGAAGAGCAAAAAUAAAAGGAUUGAAGAGAAAGAGGUGCAAGAAGUCAAAGUCCAGGUCAUGGACUCAUGGUUAUUAUGUCUGUGCUGAAGUAGCUAGUAGUACUAGUAGUAACCCUGAUGCUGAGAACAAUCCUCCAUCUCUUGGUCAAUUUCUUGCACUAGAAAGAAGAAGCUGUUAAUGAAAAUAGAAAGAAGCAAAUCCCUCUUAAUGAGUGUUGCAUUGACUCAAACUCAAACCAUUGAAACACAUUCAUUAAUUAUUUGUGAAUGGCACUAUUGAUCCAUCUCAGUCCAUCAGUGUUCAAGGCAGAGUCCUCCACAGAGAGAACGCAUGCAGGGCAUCAGGAUACGACAACACGCAUGGUUUGACUCACUUGCAGAAAUAUGUUUGUAAUUGUAUUAUUAUUUUUAUGCACAAGAUUCUCGUGGUUAACUAAAGACUUGCUGCGGAUAUAUGUUUGUGUGGACAAGCUUCUAAGGGCAUGCUUGAUUUUGAGAUGGGAGAUUUGAGCUUUUAAUGUUUGCUUUUCAA